This is a long non-coding RNA of Bufo bufo (common toad), 231 nucleotides long. RefSeq lists it as uncharacterized. Lineage: Eukaryota; Metazoa; Chordata; Amphibia; Anura; Bufonidae. The transcript has 3 exons. The record is from RefSeq and is a predicted model, not a curated record.
GAAGAUCCUAGAACUUACCACCAGGAUCACUGAGCUGCUGAGUGGAGAGGUUCCUAUAAGGUGUCAGGAUGUCACUGUCUAUUUCUCCAUGGAGGAGUGGGAGUAUUUAGAAGAACACAAGGAUCUGUACAUGGACGUCAUGAUGGAGAAUCACCAGUCCCUCACAUCACCGGAUGGAUCCAGUCAGAGAAAUCCACCAAAGAGAUGUCCCAGUCCUCUGUAUUCCCAGGA